UAGCCUCGGCUCAAGCGUGAGUACCCGCUGAACUUAAGCAUAUCAGUAAGCGGAGGAAAACAAACUAAACAGGAUUCUCUUAGUAACUGCGAGUGAACAGAGAUUAGCCCAAUAUCGAAGCUCACAAGCAUAUUGUUUGUUGAGCAAUGUGAUUUUAAGAUAUUUGCUAACGUAUAGUGGCCGACUUGAAGUCCAAAUUUGAAUGUGGCAUGUUGGUAUAAACCCCAAAGAUGGUGAAAGGCCCGUUCAAGUUGGUAAUCAGAUGUGACAUUAUACGUAUAUGCAUUUAUCAUGGAGUCGGAUUGCUUGAGAGUGCAGUCCAAAGUUGGUGGUAAACUCCAUCUAAGGCUAAAUACCUGUACGAGUCCGAUAGUUAACAAGUACCGUGAGGGAAAGUUGAAAAGUACUCUGAAGAGAGAGUAAACAGUACGUGAAACUACUUGGAGGUUAAUCAGAUAGAGUCAAGCUGCUUGUUAUUAAGCAUUGCUUUACAUGCUCUAUUGUAGACAAGACAUGUACCAUACACAGUGCAAUAGUUGCCAGUUUAUUUAAUAGGCGGGUACUUUAUUGUAAAUGAUGUACCAAGUGUAUGAUGUAUGUGUCAGCAUGUAUUGUUAAUGUUGAUAACUUGUGCCACAAUCGUUUACUUAAUCAGAGUGAUUUAACCAGCUGUUGUUAAUUUAGAUUGCAAAAUUUAAAUGGGCAUAUAGUUAAACAGUUAGUUUGAAAGCAAUUAUUUAUAAUUGUUUACUUACUGAAAUGGGUCAUGGCCUGUUGGUUAAAACAAUUUCUGUGUGAGUAAUCGGUAACAUAUAUACAUGUUAGGUUGUAUUAUGGUUUAGCCUGAUGAAAAUUGGGGUGGCUAUGUGCAAGCGUGUAUGUGAAUUGUGGUUCUGUGGUAGACUUUCUAUUUGACCCGUCUUGAAACACGGACCAAGGAGUUUAACUACAUUGCAAGUCAAAGGGCAUGAUUAACCCUAUGGCGAAAUAAAUGUGAUCAUUAAAAGUGUGAUCUGUGAGGAUUUGUUUACAAAGCUUUGCAGCGCAACACUGGCCCGUCCUAACAUGUGUGUGGUGUAUGUCACAUAACAUGAGGGCGGUGCAUGAGCAAUGUAGUUGAGACCCGAAAGAUGGUGAGCUAUGCUUGCAUAGGUUGAAGCCAGAGGAAACUCUGGUGGAAGACCGUAACGAUUCUGACGUGCAAAUCGAUCGUUGAAUGUGAGUAUAGGGGCGAAAGACUAAUCGAACCAUCUAGUAGCUGGUUCCCUCCGAAGUUUCCCUCAGGAUAGCUAGUAUUCAUUAUUAUUCAGUUUUAUUCGGUAAAGCGAAUGAUAAGAGGUACCCAGGGGAAAAGUUUUCCUCAACCUAUUCUCAAACUUUAAAUGGGUAAGAUGUUCAACUCGCUUAAUUGGAGUUGAACAUCGAAUGUGAAUACUAAGUGGGCCAUUUUUGGUAAGCAGAACUGGCGCUGUGGGAUGAACCAAACGUGUUGUUAGAGUGCCUAACACUAACGCUCAUGAGAUACCAAAAAAGGUGUUGAUGCAUUUAGACAGCAGGACGGUGGCCAUAAAAGUCGGAAUCCGCUAAGGAGUGUGUAACGACUCACCUGCCGAAUGCAUCAGCCCUGAAAAUUCAUGGCGCUAGAGCUUUGGACUCAUACAAUACUAUCGGUGCCUGCUGAGUUAUGACACUGUUAUACUCAGGCUAUGAGGUAUUCCGAUAAGUAGGAGGGACACCGUGAUGGCUAUGAAGCGGAGUUCGUGAGAACUUGUGGAGCUGUCACGGGAGCUGAUCUUGGUGGUAGUAGCAAUUAUUCAAGUGGAAUUCCUUGAAGACCGAGGUCGGAGAAGGGUUCCAUGGAAACACCGCUUGGCCAUGGGUCAGGCGGUCCUAAAUGAUCUUGGUGAUUCAGUAAAAAUCGAGUGGGUGUAAAGUGACGCAAGUUAUUUUUACAUGAAAAAUAUGUAAAUAUCUCACUCUGGGUUGAAAGGGAAUCAGGUUAACAUUCCUGAUCAAGUUGUGGAAAUUAACAGCUUCGGCUGUAAUGCGUGGUAACACAAGCUACCUUGGAGACGCUAAUGGAAGUUCCGGGAAGAGGUCUCUUUUCUUUGUUAAGAAACAAUAACCCCUAAAAUGGACUCGUUCCGAGAAAGGGGCCCCGUUUCUGUAAAGCGCCACCUACCCGGUGGUGUCCGGAAUUCUUCUGUUGGCCCUUGAAAAUCCAAGACUGGCAAUAAUUUUCACAACUGCCCGUACCCAUAUCCGCAUCAGGUCUCCAAGGUUAAUAGCCUCUGGUGCUUGAACAAUGUUGGUAAGGGAAGUCGGCAAUUUGGAUCCGUAACCUCGGAAAAAGGGUUGGCUCUGAGGGCCGAGUUUGACGGGCUAUAGAAGGAUACGCGUGGACUUUUGCGUAAGCUGGGCAAUGAACUUCUUUAAUUAGAGGUGAAUGCUUGGAGUGUGCAUAAGUCCUGUGUUGAAUGCUGUAGCUGUACAGGCGUAGCGAUGUUGUGGCACUUUGUGUUACUCUAGCUAUUGUCUUCGUCAAGCGAAAAACGGCUAACUCAGAACUGGUACGGUCCAGAGGAAUCCGACUGUCUAAUUAAAACAUAGCAUUGCGAUGGCCGUUAAACGGUUCUGACGCAAUGUGAAUUCUGCCCAGUGCUCUGAAUGUCAAAGUGAAGAAAUUCAAUCAAGCGCGGGUAAACGGCGGGAGUAACUAUGACUCUCUUGUGGUAGCCAAAUGCCUUGUCAUCUAAUUAGUGACGCGCAUGAAUGGAUUAACGAGAUUCCUUCUGUCCCUAUCUACUAUCUAGCGAAACCACAGCCAAGGGAACGGGCUUGGUAGAACCAGCGGGGAAAGAAGACCCUGUUGAGCUUGACUCUAGUCCGACUCUGUGAAGAGACAUG
Molecule: ribosomal RNA, 2907 nt
Filed under: Tristoma integrum
Lineage: Eukaryota; Metazoa; Platyhelminthes; Monogenea; Capsalidea; Capsalidae
Description: partial 28S large subunit ribosomal RNA
Rfam family: Eukaryotic large subunit ribosomal RNA
Source: RNAcentral